Molecule: ribosomal RNA, 795 nt
Filed under: uncultured bacterium
Lineage: Bacteria
Description: bacterial SSU rRNA
Rfam family: Bacterial small subunit ribosomal RNA
Source: RNAcentral
AGGAUGAACGCUGGCGGCGUGCCUAAUACAUGCAUGUCGAACGGAUUGUGGGAUUUAUUACAUAGUUAGGGGCGAACGGGUGAGUAACGCGUUGGUGACCUGCCCCAGAGCGGGGGAUAACAGCUCGAAAGGGUUGCUAAUACCCCAUGUGGUUGUUGGAUUUUGAAACCAACAACUAAAGGAGUAAUCCACUUUGGGAGGGGCCUGCGUCCCAUCAGCUAGUUGGUAGGGUAACGGCCUACCAAGGCAAAGACGGGUAGGGGACSUGAGAGGGUGGCCCCCCACAAUGGAACUGAAACACGGUCCAUACACCUACGGGUGGCAGCAGUAGGGAAUAUUGCACCAUGGGCGAAAGCCUGAUGCAGCAACGCCGCGUGAGUGAUGAAGGCCUUCGGGUCGUAAAACUCUUUUCAAGGGGAAGAGGAAGGACGGUACCCUUGGAAUAAGCAUCGGCUAACUACGUGCCAGCAGCCGCGGUAACACGUAGGAUGCGAGCGUUAUCCGGAUUUACUGGGCGUAAAGCGCGUGUAGGCGGUUGAGAAAGUUGGAUGUGAAAGCUCCCGGCUUAACUGGGAGAGGUCGUUCAAAACUUCUUGACUUGAGUUUGGUAGAGGAAAAUGGAAUUCCGGGUGUAGUGGUGAAAUGCGUAGAUAUCCGGAGGAACACCAGUGGCGAAAGCGAUUUUCUGGACCAAUACUGACGCUCAGACGCGAAAGCUAGGGUAGCAAACGGGAUUAGAGACCCCGGUAGUCCUAGCCGUAAACGAUGUAGACUUGGCGUUGGAGGAGUAAAAUC